This 283-nucleotide unclassified non-coding RNA is filed under the name Hevea brasiliensis (rubber tree). Lineage: Eukaryota; Viridiplantae; Streptophyta; Magnoliopsida; Malpighiales; Euphorbiaceae. The record is from RNAcentral.
AAGCCAUGAGACCCACAAAGUAGACUAAGGAGGUGGUUAAAUGGGAUUGGCAGACUGCACUGGUGAAGUAUAUGGGGCGACAAUAACCUUAAUGUCGGCGUCCCAUUCCCACCUUACCUCUAGACCAACCCAUAAAUAGAAGCUACACCCUCACACCUCUGGCCUAGAGAAAAACGAUGCAAAAAACCAUCACAGGAGAGUAGCUUCACCCUCACAAUGAAGCCCAAAUUUCUUGGUAUCUACUUCUCCAUGCAACAACCAACAAACAAAAGAUACAAAAAUU